This 66-nucleotide microRNA precursor is filed under the name Bombyx mori (domestic silkworm). RNAcentral's name for it is "mir-2774 microRNA precursor family". It matches the Rfam family "mir-2774 microRNA precursor family". Lineage: Eukaryota; Metazoa; Arthropoda; Insecta; Lepidoptera; Bombycidae. The record is from Rfam by way of RNAcentral.
ACAACAUUCGGACCGUCGGUCUACCGAGAAAUUUAACUCGCUCGGUUGAAGAUCUUCCGUUUGCGA